CUCCAUUCCCUCUGCAUGAUUCCUCUAACUAAGCAGACUACUUGCAGGUCUGCACAAAUUCCUAAUGUAAUUAAUUCACACUUUGCCCCUCUCUUUCCUGUAGCCUGAUUCAUGGAACGAAGCCUUUUAUGUCAGACUCCAACUUGUCUUACCUACCCCAGUCUGCAUCACACUCUUCUGUCUUCCAAGCCUUGCUCUGCUUUUCUCUGACACUGUAUAACCUUAACCAAUAAGUAGACGAAGACCAAGAAAGAAAAACAGGCGUGGAAAAUAGAGUGUCAAUACUUGGAGAAACAAGACUAUUACAUUAAUUGAGG
RNAcentral lists this long non-coding RNA (317 nucleotides) under Phascolarctos cinereus (koala). RNAcentral describes it as "lncRNA (ENSPCIG00000012962.2)". Lineage: Eukaryota; Metazoa; Chordata; Mammalia; Diprotodontia; Phascolarctidae. The record is from RNAcentral.